RNAcentral lists this ribosomal RNA (442 nucleotides) under uncultured bacterium. RNAcentral describes it as "partial 16S ribosomal RNA". It matches the Rfam family "Bacterial small subunit ribosomal RNA", at positions 338 to 795 of the family's 1533-position model. The record is from RNAcentral.
CCUACGGGUGGCAGCAGUGGGGAAUAUUGGGCAAUGGGCGCAAGCCUGACCCAGCAACGCCGCGUGAAGGAAGAAGGCUUUCGGGUUGUAAACUUCUUUUCUCAGGGACGAAGAAAGUGACGGUACUUGAUGUAUAAGUCACGGUUAACUACGUGCCAGCACCCGCGGCAAUACGUAGGUGGCAGGCGUUAUCCGGAUUUAUUGGGUGUAAAGGUCGUGUUGGCGGGAGCCCAAGUCAGAUGUGAAAACUCAGGGCUCAACCCUGAGCCUGCAUUGGUAACUGUGUUACUUUGGUGCUGUGAGGGCAAUCGGAAUUCCGGGGGUGGCGGUGAAAUGCGUGGAUAUACGGAGGAACACCAGUGGCGAAGGCGGAUUGCUGGACAGUAACUGACGCUGGGGCGCGAAAGCGUGGGGAGCAAACAGGAUUAGAUACCCUUGAGUC